Molecule: transfer RNA, 121 nt
Filed under: Candidatus Woesearchaeota archaeon
Lineage: Archaea; Nanobdellati; Candidatus Woesearchaeota
Description: tRNA-Ser
Source: RNAcentral
GCCGCGGUGGCACAACCUGGUACGCGCUAGAAUGCCUCUGGCAUCCUGCGUGCAGGAUACUGCGCUAGAUUGCUAAUCUAGUGUCCGAAAGGAUUUCCGAGUUCAAAUCUCGGCCGCGGCG